RNAcentral lists this ribosomal RNA (456 nucleotides) under uncultured bacterium. RNAcentral's name for it is "bacterial SSU rRNA". It matches the Rfam family "Bacterial small subunit ribosomal RNA", at positions 340 to 786 of the family's 1533-position model. The record is from RNAcentral.
UACGGAAGGCAGCAGUGGGGAAUAUUGCACAAUGGGCGAAAGCCUGAUGCAGCUAUGCCGCGUGUAUGAAGAAGGCCUUAGGGUUGUAAAGUACUUUCAUCGGGGAGGAAAAAACAAAACUAAUAAUUUUAUUUCUUGACGUUACCCGAAAAAGAAGCACCGGCUAACUCCGUGCCAGCAGCCGCGGUAAUACGGAGGGUGCUAGCGUUAAUCAGAAUUACUGGGCGUAAAGAGCACGUAGGUGGUUUUUUUAAGUCAGAUGUGAAAUCCCUGGGCUUAACCUAGGAACUGCAUUUUGAAACUGAAAUACUAGAGUAUCGUAGAGGGAGGUAGAAUUCUAGGUGUAGCGGUGAAAUGCGUAGAUAUCUGGAGGAAUACCUGUGGCGAAAGCGGCCUCCUAAACGAAUACUGACACUGAGGUGCGAAAGCGUGGGGAGCAAACAGGACUUAGAUACC